AUCACCUCCUAAACACUAAUUCACUAUUAAAGUCACCAAAACUUAAGCAGUUUCAACAAAUAAAGUCACCAACAACAUCACCUUCUAAACACUAGUUCACUAUUAAAGUCACCAAAACUUAAGCUUUUUCAACUAACAAAGGCACCAACGAAACUAAUUCACUAUUAAAGUCACCGGCACUUAAGCAUUUUCAACAAAUAAAUUAACCAACAACAUCACCUUCUAAACAAAAUUUCACUUUAAAAGUCACCGGCACUUAAGCAUUUUCAACAAAUAAAGUAACCAACAAAAUUUCCUUCUAAACAAAAGUUCACUAUUAAAGUCACCGUCACUUAAACAUCACCUUCUAAACAAAAGUUCACUUUUAAAGUCACCAAAAGUUAAGCUUUUUCAACUAGCAAAGGCACCAACAACAUCACCUUCUAAACAAAAGUUCACUAUUAAAGUCACCGGCACUUAAGCAUUUUCAACAAAUAAAGUAACCAACAACAUCACCUUCUAAACAAAAGUUCACUAUUAAAGUCACCGGCACUUAAGCAUUUUCAACAAAUAAAGUCACCAAUAACAUCACCUCCUAAACACUAGUUCACUAUUAAAGUCACCAAAAACUUAAGCUUUUUCAACAAACAAAGGCACCAAUGAAACUAAUUCACUAUUAAAGUCACCAAAACGUAAGCAUUUUCAACAAAUAGAGUCACCAACAACAUCACCUUCUAAACACUAAUUCACCAUUAAAGUCACCGGCACUUAAGCAUUUUCAACAAAUAAAGUAACCAACAACAUCACCUUCUAAACAAAAGUUCACUUUUAAAGUCACCGGCACUUAAG
This 828-nucleotide long non-coding RNA is filed under the name Capsicum annuum. RNAcentral describes it as "long non-coding RNA (CANN_LNC010243)". The record is from RNAcentral. Lineage: Eukaryota; Viridiplantae; Streptophyta; Magnoliopsida; Solanales; Solanaceae.